GAUGAACGCUAGCGGCAGGCUUAACACAUGCAAGUCGAGGGGCAGCGCGGGAUAGCAAUAUCCUGGCGGCGACCGGCGGAAGGGUGCGUAACGCGUGAGCGACAUGCCCGUUGCCCGGGGACAACCGGUGGAAACGCCGACUAAUCCCCGAUGGGAUACGAUGCUUCAUGGCAUUGUAUUGAAAGUUACGGCGGCGACGGAUUGGCUCGCGUCCGAUUAGCUGGUUGGCGGGGUAACGGCCCACCAAGGCUGCGAUCGGUAGGGGUUCUGAGAGGAAGGCCCCCCACAAUGGGACUGAGACACGGCCCAUACUCCUACGGGAGGCAGCAGUGAGGAAUAGUGGUCAAUGGGCGGAAGCCUGAACCAGCCAUGCCGCGUGCGGGAAGGAGGCCCUAUGGGCUGUGAACUGCUUUUGCCUGGGGGCAAUAAGGGCGUCGCGCACGUCCGAUGAGAGUACCAGGCGAAUAAGCAUCGGCUAACUCCGUG
RNAcentral lists this ribosomal RNA (486 nucleotides) under uncultured bacterium. RNAcentral describes it as "partial 16S ribosomal RNA". It matches the Rfam family "Bacterial small subunit ribosomal RNA", at positions 28 to 507 of the family's 1533-position model. The record is from RNAcentral.